Non-coding RNA from Callithrix jacchus (white-tufted-ear marmoset), 544 nucleotides. The record is from RefSeq and is a predicted model, not a curated record. Lineage: Eukaryota; Metazoa; Chordata; Mammalia; Primates; Cebidae.
UCCCGGGAGCCUCUCGAGCGCCCCGGGCGGGGUCCCGGGGCGCACGCGGGCUCCAUGCCUGGCGCUAACCUGGAUCUUUCUGGCGUGCGCCCCCCACCCACCCUGGGAAGCGGGGCUCUUGGGAGCAGGGGCUGGGGGCUGAGGGAGAGUGAGCUGCCCGUCGGGGGAGACAUGAAGUUUCACUUUGUUGCCCAGGCUGGUUUUGGACUCCUGAGAUCAAGCGAUCCUCCCACCUCGGCCUCCCAAAGGCUGGGAUGACAGGCGUGAGUCACCCCACCUGGCACCUUAUCUCCUUUCUAAGGGAUGAGUCCUCUGAAACAAAGAUCAAGCUCAUCUCAGGAGGGCAAUGAACCAAGACACCCAGGUGGCCUGCGCCCAUCUUUAACCUUCCGUUACCCCAAAAGGAAACUGCUGCUGACCACAGGUCCCUCGCCGAGGUCCGCCUUCUCUUCGUUCAGCGGGGAAGUGUCCCGGCAUGAGAAGGACGUCUGAGAAACUCUAGCACCCACGGAGACUUUCUCCUCUUCCUCUCUGCAAAUGAAUG